Molecule: transfer RNA, 581 nt
Filed under: Microcoleus vaginatus P0C
Lineage: Bacteria; Bacillati; Cyanobacteriota; Cyanophyceae; Oscillatoriales; Microcoleaceae
Description: partial 16S-23S ribosomal RNA intergenic spacer
Rfam family: tRNA (bases 297-369)
Source: RNAcentral
UUUAGGGAGACCAUCUGAUAGUCGACCGAACCUAAACAAUAGGUCGUUGUCAGUCAUCCCUGGUCGUUCGAGGAAUAGAUGUCAAAGCUUUCAAACUAUUAACUGGUUCGGAACUCGCGGGCUAUUAGCUCAGUUGGUUAGAGCGCACCCCUGAUAAGGGUGAGGUCCCUGGUUCAAAUCCAGGAUGGCCCACCUGGAAAAAAGUGAUGAAUUGUCAGUAAUGAGUAAUGGAUAAUCAAGGAUUAAUUCAGGAUUAAUUCAGGACUCAUACAAUCAAAAUCAGAACUUACAAGUGUGGGGGUAUAGCUCAGUUGGUAGAGCGCCUGCCUUGCACGCAGGAAGUCAGCGGUUCGAGUCCGCUUACCUCCACUCUCACUAACUAUUACCACCGCCAAAAAAACCCAAAAAAAUAGAAAUCAGCACCCAGACUAACUUGGUCAACAAAGAAGUCGGAAUGCUGGAGUCUAGAACUCUAGUCAGAACCUUGAAAACUGCAUAGAAAUUAAGUCAUCAAAGCGUGUCAGUCAUCCGAGAAAUCGGAGUAUCUGACCAGCGACCACCAUGAAAAAAUCAAGUGUCAA